AUUGAACGCUGGCGGCAUGCCUUACACAUGCAAGUCGAACGGCAGCACGGGGGCAACCCUGGUGGCGAGUGGCGAACGGGUGAGUAACGUAUCGGAACGUGCCCAGUAGUGGGGGAUAACCAGUCGAAAGACUGGCUAAUACCGCAUACGACCUAAGGGUGAAAGCGGGGGACCGUAAGGCCUCGCGCUAUUGGAGCGGCCGAUGUCUGAUUAGCUAGUUGGUGAGGUAAAGGCGCACCAAGGCGACGAUCAGUAGCUGGUCUGAGAGGAUGACCAGCCACACUGGGACUGAGACACGGCCCAGACUCCUACGGGAGGCAGCAGUGGGGAAUUUUGGACAAUGGGCGCAAGCCUGAUCCAGCCAUGCCGCGUGCGGGAAGAAGGCCUUCGGGUUGUAAACCGCUUUUGGCAGGAACGAAACGGCAUCCCCUAAUACGGGGUGUUAAUGACGGUACCUGCAGAAUAAGCACCGGCUAACUACGUGCCAGCCGCCGCCGUAA
RNAcentral lists this ribosomal RNA (500 nucleotides) under uncultured bacterium. RNAcentral's name for it is "partial 16S ribosomal RNA". It matches the Rfam family "Bacterial small subunit ribosomal RNA", at positions 29 to 523 of the family's 1533-position model. The record is from RNAcentral.